This 694-nucleotide ribosomal RNA is filed under the name Trichoderma sp. ES30. RNAcentral's name for it is "LSU rRNA". It matches the Rfam family "Eukaryotic large subunit ribosomal RNA", at positions 91 to 841 of the family's 3401-position model. The record is from RNAcentral. Lineage: Eukaryota; Fungi; Ascomycota; Sordariomycetes; Hypocreales; Hypocreaceae.
GAGUGAAGCGGCAACAGCUCAAAUUUGAAAUCUGGGUCCGAGUUGUAAUUUGUAGAGGAUGCUUUUGGUGAGGUCCGCCCGAGUUCCCUGGAACGGGACGCCACAGAGGGUGAGAGCCCCGUCUGGCUGGCCGCCGCCUCUGUAAAGCUCCUUCGACGAGUCGAGUAGUUUGGGAAUGCUGCUCAAAAUGGGAGGUAUAUGUCUUCUAAAGCUAAAUACUGGCCAGAGACCGAUAGCGCACAAGUAGAGUGAUCGAAAGAUGAAAAGCACCUUGAAAAGAGGGUUAAAUAGUACGUGAAAUUGUUGAAAGGGAAGCGCUUGUGACCAGACGUGGGCGCGGGAUCAUCCGGGGUUCUCUCCGGUGCACUUCCGCGCUAGGCCAGCAUCAGUUCGUCGCGGGGGAAAAGGCUUCGGGAACGUGGCUCCGGGAGUGUUAUAGCCCGUCGCAUACCCUGCGGUGGACUGAGGACCGCGCAUCUGCAAGGAUGCUGGCGUAAUGGUCACCAGCGACCCGUCUUGAAACACGGACCAAGGAGUCGUCCUCGUAUGCGAGUGUUCGGGUGUCAAACCCCUACGCGUAAUGAAAGUGAACGCAGGUGAGAGCGGCGCAUCAUCGACCGAUCCUGAUGUUCUCGGAUGGAUUUGAGUAAGAGCAUACGGGGCCGGACCCGAAAGAAGGUGAACUAUGCCUGUA